RNAcentral lists this long non-coding RNA (8018 nucleotides) under Lactuca sativa (garden lettuce). RNAcentral's name for it is "long non-coding RNA (LSAT_LNC002074)". Lineage: Eukaryota; Viridiplantae; Streptophyta; Magnoliopsida; Asterales; Asteraceae. The record is from RNAcentral.
GCAAAUUGACUCUUUUGGAACAUGACAUGGAACUACUUCAGACAUUGCCUUUCUCUUAUGAUCAAACUUUUCGAUCAUAGCAUGUCUUUCGUUGCCAUUGUCUAUAUCCAUAGAGGUCUUGAAGGCAGAUUCACCAAUCAACUUUGCUUUUCUAUUGCGCCAAACCAUUGCUGAUUCAGCAGCAAUAAGCAUAUAGGUGAGAUCUAUAAGGGUCACGUCGCGGUUCAUCAUAUAGUACUCUCUUACGAACUCACUAUAUGAGUUAGGAAGUGACUGAAGAACCCAAUCAACAGCCAUUUCCUCACAGACAACGGAUCCCAACAUUCUUAACCUAUCAAUGUGUGACUUCAUCCCUAGGACGUGUGCACACACCGACUUUCCUUCUUUAUGUUUACUUGCCAAAAGGGCUUGAGUGAUCUUGAACUUUUCAAGCCUUUGAACUUGUGGGUUAGGGAGAAUAAUUGGAGGAGGAGGAGGAAGUGAAGCAUGAUUUCUUGUUCCUCGAUCGAAUCGUGGAAUAUCAUCUUCAUGUGGAAUGCUUGUUCCACGGGAUUUGGGAAGACCAUAGUUGUCGAACUUUGACAUCUACAAAACGGGAGAAAACGAAUUCAAGUUAGUUGAUUGAUUGAGUCCUUAGUAAAUCACCCAAAUGAGAUACUAAGGCUAGGACCCAACACAAUAUUCUACAACUCGGGAGAGGGAUGCCGUAACCCUAAUUGCAGAAUAUUUGAAGGUAAGUGAAUGACGAUUCACUAAUUUCCACCAUGAAAAACGAAAAAGAAAUUUAAGUUUUAAAUCUAUGAAAACUCCUAGAUCCUUUGAGAUUCAUUGAACUUUCAAUGGCAUGUUUAAAUCUCGAUAUGCCCCUCUUGUUUGUGACUGGGAUGCCGAGGAUCACAAAGCGGGUGUGAAUAACCAUGCAAACUUACAUGGUGCCCUCACAUGUUACAGUCACCUAUUCGAUGUGCCGGUAAACCACACACGCUCCACCGAACUAUGACAAACAUUGAGUCACCCUUUGCUACCUUUGCUUAGAACCAUUUAGUGUGCCGGUUAACCACACACGCUCCACUAACGUCUUCGCAAGGGCACAAAGUGUAAUUUCAUGGAAUUGCAUCAAUUCACUUUUGCCUAAGUAACUAAGAUUGGGAAUUUUAUGAAAACAUUUAGUUACUUUAAUAAUUCAUUAUACUUAUAAUGGAAGGUUUCGUCCUAUCCUACCCGUUCGGCUAACGACCCUCCACUAGUCAAGAGUGCGGUGGGUAAGAGUGGAUACCCAUUCAAUCGCCAUUUUAUAGGCAAUUUCCUUAAACACCCCUUAUAGACCAGCUUCGUGAAUGAGGCCUACUAACGGUAAGACUGACUUUUACUCAUACAUAUAUAUAAUGUUAGACUUUUAAUGUUAUAUAUAGUAUAGGGUGUAUUUUAUACUUUUAAAAUACUAGGUGGUCUAAUUUAACAAUUAUACUUUUAAUUCAAUUAAAUUGUAAACCUAAACUUUUAUGGAUUUAUUAAACCUCUUUUAAUUAUACACCUUAAUUAAUUAAUAAAACCAUAAGGGUGUGAUUUGAACUUUUUCAAAACUAUACUAGAGUUUUAGAAUUUAACAUUCCUAAUUAAACUUUUAAUCAACUUUUAAAUUCCAAAACUUGAGGGCAAGUUUUGAAACAUUUCAACACAUUAGGGUUUAGAAUUUAAAUAUGCAUCAAAAUUAAACUAUUUAAUCAAAAUUUAAAUUCCAAAACUUGAGGGCAAGUUUUGAAACCUUUUUCAAAACAUUAGGGUUUCAACUAUUUAAAUUUCAAAACAACAAAACUUUUGGGGUUCAAAUUUAAACUAUAAAACCUAAAGGGCCAAAUAUGAAACUUUUCACAACAACAAGGAUCAAAUAACAAAUAAUUCAAAUUAACAUUUAAUCACAUAAUUAUCCAUAUUUGAUGAUUUCUUGCAAAAUAAUUUAUCAAUUUACUUAAAAUAAUUAAUCAAUUAUCUUAUAAGGAAACAAUUAUCUUAUUAAUUGAUAAAUAUCUUCAAUUAGAUUAAAAAUAUAGUCAAAUAUAUCAUAUAAUCGGAUUAAUAUUAAUCUAACAUGAUAAGGUAAUUAUCCCAAUGCAAAAACAGCAAGAAAUCCCGAGAUAAGCACUGUCUGACGCACCGACUCGCCGAGUCACCCUCUGGAACUCGCCGAGUAGGGCUGACUCGCCGAGUCCAAGAGUGACUCGCCGAGUCAGGUCGAACAGUGAGGCCAAAACACGAUUUUCAGUUACAUCAAGCAUCAAUACAAUAGAAACCAAUCAAGGCUCUGAUACCACUGAUGGGUUUUGGUCAUAAGACAUCCUAUGUGCUCAUACAAACCCUAAAGCUUGGAUCUAGGUUUCUCUAUUGUACAUACUUUGAAUCCAAGACUUUGAACCCUAAUUCUAGCAUAUGGAAAUCAGAAUUCACAUGUAAUUAGGUUUAAGAACAUACCUUGAUUGUUAUAUAGCAAUAACAAUCCAAUUCCUCCUUGAAUUGACCUUGGAAAGCUGAGAGUCACAAGUGUCACUCCUCUAAUGGCUUACAAACACCAUAAGCAAGUGGAGAAGGUAUAAAGAGAGAGGAGGGAGGUUAGAAUUCGUCCUUAGGACCUCUUGGGAAGGGUUGGACGAAUUCCUAAGCCCUAGGGGGUUUAUAUAGGUGUAAAGAUUAGGGUUUUAGUCCUUAUCCUUAUCUAGUUGCUUGUCCACCAAGCAACCAUAAGAUAAGUCCUAGAAAUCCUUAUCCUAGUCGAAUUCUAAGGGAUUUACACCUCAAAUUCGUUCACCAUAUAUAUAAGAUAAUCCUUACCUUAUUUUGUAACUAUCACAUAAUUACAAUUCAGCCCCUCUAGUUUAAUUAAUUACACUUGAUCACAAAAUUAAUUCUUAAUUAAUUAUUGACCAAUAUUAAUUAAACAAAUAUGAUUUCUCCUUUAAUAUAUUAUUCUUAUAACAUAUUAAUAAAUCAUAAUAACCUCUCUCUCUAUUUAUUUCUCCAAUCAAGUUGCUUUGGUGAAGGCAACCCAAAAGGACCAUGCACCAUCGGGUCAAGUACAUACCAAAAUAGUUAUGGACUUAGACACUAAUCCAACAGUCUCCCACUUGGAUAAGUCUAACAACUAUUCUGCGUAUGACUUCGGAUCCCGAUCUGCAAUCGUAGCUUUCCAAAGCCGCUGUCAACUCUGAUCAUAUCAGAUACGCGUGUCCUUAGAUAAGGGAUCAUAUAUUCCUCCAUUCUAGAUAUCAUAUGAGAUAUGAUUUCAAAUCAUUCUCUUUGUACUAUAUCUCGAUUUCCGAUUUAUGACGACUGACUAAUUGAACAAAUCAAAUUAGCCCUAGCCCGGCCGAGCAUUUACGUUUGUCAUCACUAAACCAUCGAGGGGCCCAAAGAUAUCGCUUUUAUCCUACUUUGGAUAAAAGGAACGGAUAAACUUUGAUACAAUGCUUGCUUGCACUCACUCACCGAAUCACACACAACAAUAUGUUUUAUAACACCAAGUUACUAGUGCGUUUACAUAUUAUCAAUGUGCAACCGAUUUGCAAGAUACAACUCACACAUCUCGGUUUCAAGAAUAUAAGAUGUUAUCGUCUCACCAAUCACUCGUGAUACAAUUCAUGGAGUGAUCCAAGUGAGCGUGGGUUUAAUCCAAUGCUCAAAUCAUAUUCAUAAGCACUCAUGAACGUUGCAGCAAACAUUUGCUUAUGUCUAAUACUCUUUUAGACAAUCCACACACCAAUUCACGACAGUCUUCAUUCAUAUCUACUUCCAACAUAUGAACGACUGUGGCCCGUUUGAAUAAUUCGAUUAUUCUUAAUAAACUCAAUUAUUCUGGAAGUCAAAACAUGCAAAUGUGAAACACAAGAAUAAUACUAAUCCCAUAUGGCCUCAAACCUUUGAGUAUAAAUAAAACACCUUUUAUUUAUCACCAUAUUGAUUACUCAUUAUUUGUCGUUUCGGGUAAUCAACUUCUUACUUGAAUUCCAACACUUGUCCCAUGCUCCUAGCAUGCACACAAUGUUUACCUAUGGUUCUUACUUUGUGAAAUAGAUCACAUUGAACACAUUUCCAAUCCUUCUCAUUUCACAACUCCAAAUCCGUUUUUCAUAAGUCAAAGAAUAUCAAAUUCUUGCUACUUAUAGAAUAUGCUAGAUUCUAACAUUCUAUGCAACUAUCCUUUCGUAAUGUCACUGCACCAAAGUCACAAAGACUAUUGCCAAUGAUAUUACAAAGUCCUCUAUCGGAGAUUGUUACAAGACAAUUCCAUAGACGUGAUGUCUCUCACUCAAAGUACAUUCUUUGAACAUCCUUUUGCAUAGAAGUUUCUAAUCUAGUCAUAGAUUUCUCAAUAUUCAAUUCCCAAUAUGGACACACUUCCAUAUGUUCCAUAUGACAACUCAUUCUUAAUAGAAUCUUAUCUAUUCGUAAUGAUGUCGAUAUGGUCCAUCCAAUAUGGAAACAUUUCCAUAUUUUCCAAUACUAUACUUCCAACUACUCACAAGCGACCAAUCCUCGUCGAACUUUGGAUUGUCCUUUGAUAGUUGUUUAAUUAUUUUAGUCAAAACCAAUUCUAGUCCCUUUUCCCUCUAAAUGCGCUCGACAUUUGGAAAAUUUUAGAAUGGUCAAACAUUAAAGCAUUUGCAAUCGAUCCUAUACCCGAAGCGUAUGGGACACGACGCAUAAUGUUUUAUUUGCUAUGUUCUCAAAAUUCGAAUUGUGAAGAGGGAUGCCGUAAUCAUAAUCGAAAUUUUAAGAACACACUAUGUACCUUUGACUAAAUUUAUUAACAUUUCUCAACCUAAUCCUUUAGAUUUGAAAUGAAGCAUAAUAUUCUCUCCCUUAAUUAUAGCAAAACAACCUUUCAACUCUUACAACUUUGCAAAGUAUGACUCUUGUUUUCUAUAAUUAAUAUUGCUAACCUUGCAAUACUUUCCUUAAUAAUCAUACAAUCAUAACAUUUAUGCUCCCACUAUCAUGAUGAUUAUUAUAAAACAUAACACUUAUGCUCCCACUAGCUUCGACAUGUAUUCAUAAACAUCUUAACUUUCAGAAAACAAUACUUAUUGAAUUUCUUAAGUUCAUGUUUCUAAUACUUAGUGCUUUGAUAAUCCUUUAUCAAUGCUUCUUGAACUUAUACACCUUUGCCUUCGAUAGUUCAUAUGUGUGUCUAAACAAUUAAGACUAAUUGCCAAACCUCACAAUUCAAAUUAUGGAAAGGGAUACCGUAACCAUAAUCGAAUUCGAGAAUGCAAUUUUACAAUCACUAUCUUCUUAAAAUCUUUCUUAGUGAAAGCAUUUCCUCACAAUCAUUUUCAUGAAGGAGGAAAUCUUAUGACACUUAGAUUUAAACGGUGUAUGUGUUCCUAUCCAUGUGAAUUUGUUAAAACCAAAGUUUACGACAAAUUCAAACUCAUAUGGACCGAACUUUCUUAAUCUUGAUUUCUUGCCUUAUGGUAGCACAGCUGCCCACCAUGUCUUCCAAGUAGUUAAGCAGCUCACCCUUUCCUAUCAAUGUACCUUUCAUUGAUUAAGGUGCUUUGCCUUUUAUGCGUUCAAAAUGAGAACUCAUAGAACUCACAUGCAUAAUUAACUCGAUUGGAUUGGCACAGAAACAAAAUAAUGUCAACACGAUAGGUUGUAAACCUCAACUCGUGUGCUAGUGAUGAUCGAUAAGGUUUAUUUGAUUUGUUCUUGAAACCUUUCAAGACCAUUAAGACUCCCACUGACUCCUUGACAUAUAAGAUUCUCUUGUCAAUAAACAUUUCUUGACAAACAAAUAUUCAAGAGUUAGUGUAGCUUUUAUCAAAACACUUCAUAAAUUGGUCCUAGUUGGUCUUUGUCUUAUCCAAGACAUCACAACUUUCCACAUUUGAUGAAUGUUAUAAACCUUCUUAAUACUUUUCACUCAAUGUCACAAUCUUAACUCUAAGACUUGUUUUGGAACGAAGUAUGAUUGACUUCUUGAUUUAACCAUUUCUUCAAUUCUUGAUUCCUCUUCUUAGACAUACAAUUGUACUAAGACUCACUUAGAGGAUCAAUUGAGAUAUGGUUCUUAAUCAUUAAGACCUAUCAUAAAGCAUAAAAGGUACUCUCCCUUCUUCUUAGAAUGGAGAAACUUUUAUCUUUCUGCCUACUUGAUUCUUCUUAUUCGUUCUGCUAUUGAUUUAAACUUUUUCAAUCAAUUCAGAAUUACACUUAAUCUUGUAAGUAUAAUCAUAUUUACUAAACCUUUAGUAAAUCAUGACGAAUAUCUUUGUUACUCUUAUGGUGGACUUGAUCAACACGCAACUUUGUGUACUCGAUCUCCUAGUCCUUCACUUGACACUUUGUCAAUGAAUUAGUCUAAUUUCCAAAUAUGAAAUUUCUCAUUCAUCGUGCAACCAAGUUGCAUGAUUCCAAGUUUCUGUCCAAUUGAAACUUGGGCGAUGAGAAACUCUCCCUAUUUGGUAAACUCUCGACUUUCCAUAAAUAACAUAAUAAGAACCAAAUCCAUUAUUGCUAAUAAUAGAAACAUUCAAACAUCAAUUUUUCAUAUACGCCAUUGCAAGGAUAAAUAAAUAAUAUAAAAUCAAAAUUUAUUUUAUUGCGAAAAAAUUUGUCCUUACAAUGCAAUUCAUUGAAAAACUAUGCUAAUACAUCUUUCUUAGCAAUCUAAUUCUAACUCUAAGUAGUAGCUCAAGAAUCUAAUCUUCGAGAAAUGCGAUCGAAAUCCAUUCCUUCACGGUUAGAUUCUGCUCACUUCUUCCCUUAAGCUUCCUUUCUUUUCUUCGAUCCUACAAAACAUCAAUUGUAAUCUUAUCACAUUAUGUAUUAAGAAUCUAGAAUAGAAGCUUAAAAGAGUUAGUUAAUGGAUUUUACCUAUAUUAGAGCCAUACGUUUCGACUCUCCCAUCUCUUAGAUCUCUUAGGUAAAUGGGGCAGCUUCGUCUCCAAUGCCCUUUCUCUUGGCAAUAAAAGCAAAUUGACUCUUUUGGAACAGGACAUGGAACUACUUCAGACAUUGCCUUUCUCUUAUGAUCAAACUUUUCGAUCAUAGCAUGUCUUUCGUUGCCAUUGUCUAUAUCCAUAGAGGUCUUGAAGGCAGAUUCACCAAUCAACUUUGCUUUUCUAUUGCGCCAAACCAUUGCUGAUUCAGCAGCAAUAAGCAUAUAGGUGAGAUCUAUAAGGGUCACGUCGCGGUUCAUCAUAUAGUACUCUCUUACGAACUCACUAUAUGAGUUAGGAAGUGACUGAAGAACCCAAUCAACAUCCAUUUCCUCACAGACAACGGAUCCCAACAUUCUUAACCUAUCAAUGUGUGACUUCAUCCCUAGGACGUGUGCACACACCGACUUUCCUUCUUUAUGUUUACUUGCCAAAAGGGCUUGAGUGAUCUUGAACUUUUCAAGCCUUUGAACUUGUGGGUUAGGGAGAAUAAUUGGAGGAGGAGGAGGAAGUGAAGCAUGAUUUCUUGUUCCUCGAUCGAAUCGUGGAAUAUCAUCUUCAUGUGGAAUGCUUGUUCCACGGGAUUUGGGAAGACCAUAGUUGUCGAAAUUUGACAUCUACAAAACGCGAGAAAACGAAAUCAAGUUAGUUGAUUGAUAGAGUCCUUAGUAAAUCACCCAAAUGAGAUACUAAGGCUAGGACCCAACACAAUAUUCUACAACUCGGGAGAGGGAUGCCGUAACCCAAAUUGCAGAACAUUUGAAGGUAAGUGAAUGACGAUUCACUAAUUUCCACCAUGAGAAACGAAAAAGAAAUUUAAGUUUUAAAUCUAUGAAAACUCCUAGAUCCUUUGAGAUUCAUUGAACUUUCAAUGGCAUGUUUAAAUCUCGAUAUGCCCCUCUUGUUUGUGACUGGGAUGCCGAGGAUCACAAAGCGGGUGUGAAUAACCAUGCAAACUUACAUGGUGCCCUCACAUGUUACAGUCACCUAUUCGAUGUGCCGGUAAACCACACACGCUCCACCGAACUAUGACAAACAUUGAGUCACCCUUUGCUACCUUUGCUUAGAACCAUUUAGUGU